This 1884-nucleotide ribosomal RNA is filed under the name human metagenome. RNAcentral describes it as "bacterial LSU rRNA". It matches the Rfam family "Bacterial large subunit ribosomal RNA", at positions 3 to 1980 of the family's 2925-position model. The record is from RNAcentral.
UCAAGCGAACAAGGGCGCAGGGCGAAUGCCUUGGCACUGGGAGCCGAUGAAAGACGUGAUAAGCUGCGAUAAGCUUCGGGGAGCUGCAAAUAAGCAUUGAUCCGGAGAUUUCUGAAUGAGGAAACUCACCUGGGUUCAUACUCAGGUACGUUGUACUGAAAUUCAAAAUAGGUACAUCGGGGGAACCGCCUGAACUGAAACAUCUAAGUAGGGCGAGGAAGAGACAUCAAACGAGAUUCCGUAAGUAGUGGCGAGCGAACGCGGAAGAGGGCAAACCGGAGGUAGAAAUACCUUCGGGGUACGGACUGCUUUUAGGACUCGAUCUGUUAACCGAACGGCAUGGGAAGGCCGGUCAGAGAGUGUGAGAACCACGUAGGUGAAAACGGAAAGAGCUGCGCAGAAUCCAGAGUACGGCCAGACACGUGAAACCUGGUCGGAAGAUGGGGGGACCACCCUCCAACCCUAAAUACUACCCAGUGACCGAUAGCGUAUAGUACUGUGAAGGAAAGGUGAAAAGCACCCCGGGAGGGGAGUGAAAAAGAACCUGAAACCCUGUGCCUACAAGCACCUAGAGCACGUCAAAGUGUGAUAGGGUACUUUUUGUAGAACGGUCCGGCGAGCGAUUGUAUGCAGCAAGGUUAAGGACUUAAGGUCUGGAGCCGAAGCGAAAGCGAGUUUGAAAAGGGCGUUAAGUUGCAUAUAAUGGGCCCGAAACCGGGUGACCUACCCAUGGUCAGGUUGAAGUGGAAGUAAAAUUCCAUGGAGGACCGAACCGACCUCCGUUGAAAAGGCGGCGGAUGAACUGUGGGUAGCGGAGAAAUUCCAAUCGAACCCGGAGAUAGCUGGUUCUCCCCGAAAUAGUUUUAGGACUAGCCUCAAGUUAGAUACCUGGAGGUAAAGCACUGAAUAGCCUAGCGGCCGAGAGGUUAGCGAAGCUUAUCAAACUCAGAAUGCCAGAGUAUUGAUGCUUGGGAGUCAGACAGUGUCAGAUAAAUGUCAUUGUCAAAAGGGAAACAGCCCAGAUCUACAGCUAAGGUCCCAAAGUCAGGUUAAGUGGAAAACGAUGUGAAGAUACGCAGACAACCAGGAUGUUGGCUCAGAAGCAGCCACUCAUUCAAAGAGUGCGUAAUAGCUCACUGGUCGAGCGUCUUUGCGCGGAGAAUUUAACGGGGCUAAACCUGACACCGAAGCUUAGGCAAUCCAGCAAUGGAUUGGGUAGGGGAGCGUUGUAUACGCGGAGAAACAGUAGCGUAAGCGGCUGUGGAGUGUAUAGAAGUGAGAAUGCCGGAAUGAGUAGCGCGAAUGCAGUGAGAAUCUGCAUGGCCGAAAGCCUCAGGUUUUUGGAGGAAGGUUCGUCCGCUCCAAGUUAGUCGGGAGCUAAGGUGAGGCCGGAAGGCGUAGCCGAUGCACAGACGGUAGAGAUUCCGUCACCACCAAAAGAGUUAAGCACAGGGACACAUUUGAAGUCUCAGAGCCGGGUGUUGGUUCCGGUAGAGAUCGAGGGAAGUUAGUACCGAAGUCUGGGAUGGAAGAUGGCGAGAAAAGCUGUGUGUAUUUCUGAGGUGCCCGUACCGCAAACCGACACAGGUAGGUAGGAAGAAGAUUCUAAGGCCAACGGGAGAAGGGUUGUUAAGGAACUCGGCAAAUUGACCCCGUAACUUCGGGAGAAGGGGUGCUCCAGAGAUGGAGCCGCAGAGAAUCGGCCCAAGCAACUGUUUACCAAAAACACAGGUUUGUGCUAAAUCGAAAGAUGACGUAUACGAGCUGACGCCUGCCCGGUGCUGGAAGGUUAAGAGGAGAUGUGCAAGCAUUGAAUCGAAGCCCCAGUGAACGGCGGCCGUAACUAUAACGGUCCUAAGGUAGCGAAAUUCCUUGUCAGGUAAG